This 250-nucleotide ribosomal RNA is filed under the name uncultured bacterium. RNAcentral's name for it is "partial 16S ribosomal RNA". It matches the Rfam family "Bacterial small subunit ribosomal RNA", at positions 524 to 773 of the family's 1533-position model. The record is from RNAcentral.
UACGUAGGGUCCGAGCGUUGUCCGGAGUUACUGGGCGUAAAGCGCGCGCAGGCGGUCCGAUAAGACUGGCGUGAAAGCCCCCGGCUCAACCGGGGAGGGUCGUUGGUGACUGUCGGACUUGAAGACAGCAGGGGCAGGUGGAAUUCCCGGUGUAGUGGUGAAAUGCGUAGAGAUCGGGAGGAACACCCGUGGCGAAGGCGGCCUGCUGGGCUGUUCUUGACGCUGAGGCGCGAAGGCGUGGGGAGCGAAC